AUUGAACGCUGGCGGCAUGCUUUACACAUGCAAGUCGAGCGGCAGCGCGGGGGCAACCCUGGCGGCGAGCGGCGAACGGGUGAGUAAUGCAUCGGAACGUACCCUGGAGUGGGGGAUAACGCCGCGAAAGCGGCGCUAAUACCGCAUAUGCUCUGAGGAGGAAAGUGGGGGACCGCAAGGCCUCACGCUCUGGGAGCGGCCGAUGUCCGAUUAGCUAGUUGGUGAGGUAAAGGCUUACCAAGGCGACGAUCGGUAGCUGGUCUGAGAGGAUGAUCAGCCACACUGGGACUGAGACACGGCCCAGACUCCUACGGGAGGCAGCAGUGGGGAAUUUUGGACAAAUCGGGGCAACCCUGAUCCAGCCAUGCCGCGUGAGUGAAGAAGGCCUCGGUUGUAAGAGUCUUUGGUUCGGUAGGAAAGUAG
RNAcentral lists this ribosomal RNA (423 nucleotides) under uncultured bacterium. RNAcentral's name for it is "bacterial SSU rRNA". It matches the Rfam family "Bacterial small subunit ribosomal RNA", at positions 29 to 454 of the family's 1533-position model. The record is from RNAcentral.